UUUUGUUCGCAAAUCUGUCCA
This is a non-coding RNA of Caenorhabditis elegans, 21 nucleotides long. NCBI's taxonomy places the organism in Eukaryota, Metazoa, Nematoda, Chromadorea, Rhabditida, Rhabditidae. The record is from Ensembl.